This 346-nucleotide ribosomal RNA is filed under the name Salmonella enterica subsp. enterica serovar Eko. RNAcentral's name for it is "partial 23S ribosomal RNA". It matches the Rfam family "Bacterial large subunit ribosomal RNA", at positions 2597 to 2925 of the family's 2925-position model. Lineage: Bacteria; Pseudomonadati; Pseudomonadota; Gammaproteobacteria; Enterobacterales; Enterobacteriaceae. The record is from RNAcentral.
UACGCGAGCUGGGUUUAGAACGUCGUGAGACAGUUCGGUCCCUAUCUGCCGUGGGCGCUGGAGAACUGAGGGGGGCUGCUCCUAGUACGAGAGGACCGGAGUGGACGCAUCACUGGUGUUCGGGUUGUCAUGCCAAUGGCACUGCCCGGUAGCUAAAUGCGGAAGAGAUAAGUGCUGAAAGCAUCUAAGCACGAAACUUGCCCCGAGAUGAGUUCUCCCUGAGACUUAGAGUCUCCUGAAGGAACGUUGAAGACGACGACGUUGAUAGGCCGGGUGUGUAAGCGCAGCGAUGCGUUGAGCUAACCGGUACUAAUGAACCGUGAGGCUUAACCUUACAACGCCGAAG